RNAcentral lists this ribosomal RNA (165 nucleotides) under Fusobacterium necrophorum subsp. funduliforme B35. Its description in RNAcentral is "partial 16S ribosomal RNA". It matches the Rfam family "Bacterial small subunit ribosomal RNA", at positions 231 to 394 of the family's 1533-position model. The record is from RNAcentral. Lineage: Bacteria; Fusobacteriati; Fusobacteriota; Fusobacteriia; Fusobacteriales; Fusobacteriaceae.
UUGCGUCCCAUUAGCUAGUUGGUGAGGUAACGGCCCACCAAGGCAAUGAUGGGUAGCCGGCCUGAGAGGGUGAACGGCCACAAGGGGACUGAGACACGGCCCUUACUCCUACGGGAGGCAGCAGUGGGGAAUAUUGGACAAUGGACCACAAGUCUGAUCCAGCAA